UGUCGCCCGCAAGGGCGCAUGGUGGAUGCCUUGGCAGACAGUACCGACGAAGGACGUUUGAGGAUGCGAUAAGCCUCGGGGAGCCUCCAGCAUGGCUUCGAUCCGAGGAUUUCCGAAUGGGGCAACCCGCCGGCCGUCAUGGGCCGGCACCGCAGGCUUCUGCGGGGGGUACGCAGGGAAGUGAAACAUCUCAGUACCUGCAGGAAGGGAUACUCCGUGAGUAGUGGCGAGCGAAAGCGGAUCAGACCAAACCGCGUGCGCGUGAUACCCGUCGGGGGUUGCGUGCGCGGUGUUGAGGGAGCGCGUGUCCCGGUUCCGACGGACCGGGCGGGAGUCAUAAAGCGGCUUGCCAGGGGAACAGGCUUGAAGGCCUGGCCGCAGAGGGUGCCAGCCCCGUACCUGGACGCUUGCCGUCUUCCGAUCGCGUGUCCCAAGUAGCGCGGGCCUCGUGGAAUCCCGCGUGAAUCCGCACCGACCGUGGUGUAAGUCUAAGCAUACCUGUCUGACCGAUAGCGUACCAGUACCGUGAGGGAAAGGUGAAAAGCACCCCGGGAGGGGAGUGAAAGAGUUCCUGAAACCGUGCGCCUACGAUCCGUCGGAGCCUCCUUGUGGGGUGACGGCGUGCCUAUCGAAAAAUGAGUCUGCGAGUCAGUGAUGCGUGGCGAGGCUAACCCGUCGUGGGGCAGCCGUAGCGAAGGCGAGUCCGAACAGGGCGUUUCUAUAGUCGCGUGUCCUGGACCCGAAGCGGGAUGAUCUAGCCCUGGGCAGGUUGAAGCGCGGGUAAGACCGCGUGGAGGACCGAACCCACCUGGGUUGAAAACCGGGGGGAUGACCUGGGGCUAGGGGUGAAAGGCCAAUCAAAUUCCGUGAUAGCUGGUUCUCUCCGAAAUGCAUUUAGGUGCAGCGUCGGCUUAUUGCAUCGCGGGGGUAGAGCUACCGGAUGCUUGCGGGCCCUUGUGGGGUACCAACAGCAGCCGAACUCCGAAUACCGUUGAUGUGUAUGCCGGCAGUGAGUCGGCGGGGGAUAAGCUCCGUCGUCGAGAGGGAGACAGCCCAGACCGUCGUCCGAGGUCCCCAAGCGUGUGCUAAGUGGGAAAGGAUGUGGGGCCGCAUAGACAGCCAGGAGGUUGGCUCAGAAGCAGCCAUCCUUGAAAGAGUGCGUAACAGCUCACUGGUCUAGUGGUCCCGCGCCGACAAUGUAGCGGGGCUCAAGCACACCACCGAAGACGCGGCGGCAUGCCUUUGGCGUGCCGGGUAGGAGAGCGUCCUGCAAGGGGCGAAGCGGCCGGGUGACCGUGCCGUGGACUUUGCGGGAGUGAGAAUGCAGACAUGAGUAGCGAGAGACGGGUGAGGAUCCCGUCCGCCGGAUGACCAAGGGUUCCGGGGCCACGUUCGUCGUCCCCGGGUGAGUCGGGUCCUAAGGCGAGGCCGACAGGCGUAGUCGAAUGGAUGAACGGGUGGAUAUUCCCGUACCGGCAGCGAACCGACAGGACCGAGGCGGUGAGUACUAACCUCCGUCGCGGGCCGUUCCCCUCCUUCGGGUGGGGUCCGGCGCGUGGCGUUGGGAGCGUAGCCGUGGUAGGUGAGCGCAGGGGUGACACGGAAUGGGAGCCGGCCGCGGAGGUGGUUUUCCGUGGUCAAGCACGCAGCCAGUCAUGCAGGCAAAUCCGCAUGGCGCGUAUGGCGAGGUGCGAUGAUGGGAGCCGUUUCGGCUCGAUAUCCGGUGGUCCAGGCCGUCGAGAAAAGCCCCGGCGUCAGGCGCGUUGCCGCCCGUACCCCAAACCGACACAGGUGGUCAGGUAGAGAAUACCAAGGCGAUCGAGCGAAUCCUGGUCAAGGAACUCGGCAAACCGCUCCCGUGCCUUCGGCAUAAGGGAGACCCCCGCGGGUGAACGGACAUGCUCCGGGAGCGUGUGGGGGUGGCACAGACCAGGGGGUAGCGACUGUUUACCAAAAACACAGGUGCAUGCGAAGGCGUAAGCCGCUGUAUAUGCACUGACGCCUGCCCGGUGCCGGAAGGUUAAGAGGAUCCGUCAGCCCCUUGGGGGUGAAGCGGUGAAUUCAAGCCCCGGUAAACGGCGGUGGUAACUAUAACCAUCCUAAGGUAGCGAAAUUCCUUGUCGGGUAAGUUCCGACCUGCACGAAUGGCGUA
Molecule: ribosomal RNA, 2152 nt
Filed under: metagenome
Description: bacterial LSU rRNA
Rfam family: Bacterial large subunit ribosomal RNA
Source: RNAcentral